This 253-nucleotide ribosomal RNA is filed under the name uncultured bacterium. RNAcentral describes it as "partial 16S ribosomal RNA". It matches the Rfam family "Bacterial small subunit ribosomal RNA", at positions 524 to 776 of the family's 1533-position model. The record is from RNAcentral.
UACGUAGGGUGCAAGCGUUGUUCGGAUUCACUGGGCGUAAAGGGUGCGUAGGCGGUCGGGUAAGUCUGAUGUGAAAUCUCACAGCUUAACUGUGAAACUGCAUUGGAUACUGUCCGGCUAGAGGAAUGGAGGGGAGACUGGAAUACUUGGUGUAGCAGUGAAAUGCGUAGAUAUCAAGUGGAACACCAGUGGCGAAGGCGAGUCUCUGGACAUUUCCUGACGCUGAGGCACGAAAGCCAGGGGAGCAAACGGG